AAUCAACGCUGGCGGCGCGCUUAACACAUGCAAGUCGAACGAGAAAGGGGAGCAAUCCCUGAGUAAAGUGGCGUACGGGUGAGUAACACGUGGAUCAUCUACCUCUUAGUGGGGAAUAACUCUGGGAAACCGGAGCUAAUACCGCAUAAGCCUGGAAAGGGAAAGUGACGUUCUUCAAAAACGACACGCUGAGAGAGGAGUCCGCGGCCGAUUAGCUAGUUGGCAGGGUAAAAGCCACCAAGGCAUUGAUCGGUAGCCGGCCUGAGAGGGCACACGGCCACACUGGCACUGAAACACGGGCCAGACUCCUACGGGAGGCAGCAGUGGGGAAUCUUGCACAAGUGGGGGCAACCCUGAUGCAGCGACGCCGCGUGAGCGAUGAAGCCCUUCGGGGGUGUAAAGCUCUUUCGGCAGGAACGAUAAUGACGGUACCUGAAGAAGAAGCUGCGGCUAAC
This 455-nucleotide ribosomal RNA is filed under the name uncultured bacterium. RNAcentral describes it as "bacterial SSU rRNA". It matches the Rfam family "Bacterial small subunit ribosomal RNA", at positions 32 to 501 of the family's 1533-position model. The record is from RNAcentral.